GGAGAAAUGGCAGAGUGGUCGAAUGCACUGGUCUUGAAAACCAGCGAGGGUAACACCUCCGGGGGUUCGAAUCCCUCUUUCUCCGCCA
Molecule: transfer RNA, 88 nt
Filed under: Crocinitomicaceae bacterium
Lineage: Bacteria; Pseudomonadati; Bacteroidota; Flavobacteriia; Flavobacteriales; Crocinitomicaceae
Description: tRNA-Ser
Rfam family: tRNA
About the family: Transfer RNA (tRNA) molecules are approximately 80 nucleotides in length. Their secondary structure includes four short double-helical elements and three loops (D, anti-codon, and T loops).
Source: RNAcentral